Molecule: ribosomal RNA, 497 nt
Filed under: uncultured bacterium
Lineage: Bacteria
Description: partial 16S ribosomal RNA
Rfam family: Bacterial small subunit ribosomal RNA
Source: RNAcentral
GAUGAACGCUGGCGGCGUGCCUAAUACAUGCAAGUCGAGCGAACGGACGAGAAGCUUGCUUCUCUGAUGUUAGCGGCGGACGGGUGAGUAACACGUGGAUAACCUACCUAUAAGACUGGGAUAACUUCGGGAAACCGUAGCUAAUACCGGAUAAUAUUUUGAACCGCAUGGUUCAAAAGUGAAAGACGGUCUUGCUGUCACUUAUAGAUGGAUCCGCGCUGCAUUAGCUAGUUGGUAAGGUAACGGCUUACCAAGGCAACGAUGCAUAGCCGACCUGAGAGAGUGAUAGGCCACACGGGAACUGAGACACGGUCCAGACUCCUACGGGAGGCAGCAGUAGGGAAUCUUCCGCAAUGGGCGAAAGCCUGACGGAGCAACGCCGCGUGAGUGAUGAAGGUCUUCGGAGCGUAAAACUCUGUUAUUAGGGAAGAACAUAUGUGUAAGUAACUGUGCACAUCUUGACGGUACCUAAUCAGAAAGCCACGGCUAACUACGUG